RNAcentral lists this ribosomal RNA (1046 nucleotides) under Triticum aestivum (bread wheat). RNAcentral describes it as "partial small subunit ribosomal RNA". Lineage: Eukaryota; Viridiplantae; Streptophyta; Magnoliopsida; Poales; Poaceae. The record is from RNAcentral.
GUGAAAUCCAUCCCCCGUCGAUUCUGUUUUCUCAAAAAGAAAAAAUCUAUUCCCGAUCGAGGCGCAGCGGAGCGACCGCAUCGAAUCUAUCCACUCUGGAUUCGAGACGCAGAGAGGAGCCGAUCGAUCCAGUCCGGAUUCGAGCACCGCUACGGCUGAGGUGAGGGAUGGAUCGAGUCCAUCCGUGCGCUGGGAUCAAGAGAAGGAUUCGGAUGCAACCGAUGCGCUCGAGCGUCGACGGUGUCGAGCGGAGGCAGGUGAUUCGGGUCCAGCCGAGGCGCCCUAGCGCGCAAUGGGAUCGAGUGCAGAACCGCCGGCGGCGCAAGGAUUAAGGCUGAUGGUCUUCAUCGAGUAACAGUUCAUCGAGGUGGCGAUGCCGAUCGAGAGAGCCUUAGUUAUGGUGUAGGCGGGCAAUUAGUACAAGGAGGCGGUGCAAACGGCUCAAGGAUACAAAGGUGGAUGCGCAGGAUGAAGCCACGGUGUCUCGCUGGUGCAAGAGGAGGAGGCGGGGGCGACCACUACACUAGCAACCUCGUCGGCGCAAGAGUAACAGUACACAUCGAAAAGCGCCUAGGUAGGACGGUAAUGUCGAGGAUGCAAGGAGGAAGAGGAUAUGUGUGCCGCUCUUUCUUACCAUGACUGUAUUCUUGGUUGAUUUACAUAUAUGUAUGUGCUCGUAUUUCCGCUGGUGAAAGCAAUAGUGUGAAGGCAAACUAUUUUACACUAUUCACUUAUAAUGAAACUCUUUGCCGAUAUCAUGUAUUUAUACAUCCUAAACCUACUUCAUCUGGCAUCAAUUGUCAUGAUACAAUUUGCAAGGCUGUAUGGGCAAUCAUGUUUAGGUGGGCGUCUUCCUGCAUAUGAUGGAAAUAAAAGCUUAUAUACAUCUUGUCCAUUUCCAUUUACUUAUGAGGCUUUUGAAUUAGUACUACUUGAUCAGGAAGACAGUCUUCAUGGUGGGCAAGUCAGAGAUGUAUGAUAUUCUGGGCAUAUCAAUAACCCUGUUCUAAUUAAUUGCUUACUGAUGUUGAUGCUCUCUGAAGGCG